CGAUUAGGCAGCAGUGGGGAAUAUUGCACAAUGGGCGAAAGCCUGAUGCAGCAACGCCGCGUGAGGGACGAAGGCUUUCUGAGUUGUAAACCUCUUUCAGCAGGGACGAUGAUGACGGUACCUGCAGAAGAAGCCCCGGCCAACUACGUGCCAGCAGCCGCGGUAAUACGUAGGGGGCAAGCGUUGUCCGGAUUUAUUGGGCGUAAAGAGCUCGUAGGCGGCUUGGCAAGUCGGAUGUGAAACCUCCAGGCUCAACCUGGAGUCGCCAUCUGAUACUGCUAUGGCUAGAGUUUGGUAGGGGACCACGGAAUUCCUGGUGUAGCGGUGAAAUGCGCAGAUAUCAGGAGGAACACCAGCGGCGAANGCGGUGGUCUGGGCCAAUACUGACGCUGAGGAGCGAAAGCGUGGGGAGCGAACAGGAUUAGAUACCCUGGUAGUCCACGCCGUAAACGUUGGGCACUAGGUGUGGGGACCUAUCGACGGUUUCUGUGCCGCAGCUAACGCAUUAAGUGCCCCGCCUGGGGAGUACGGCCGCAAGGCUAAAACUCAAAGGAAUUGACGGGGGCCCGCACAAGCGGCGGAGCAUGUGGCUUAAUUCGAGGCAACGCGAAGAACCUUACCUGAGUUUGACAUGUAAAGAAAAGCCGUAAAGAUACGUGUCCUUCGGGGUUCUACACAGGGGGGGCAUGGCUGUCGUCAGCUCGGGUCGGGAAAUGUUGGGUUAAGUCCCGCAACGAGCGCAACCCUUGU
This 750-nucleotide ribosomal RNA is filed under the name uncultured bacterium. RNAcentral's name for it is "bacterial SSU rRNA". It matches the Rfam family "Bacterial small subunit ribosomal RNA", at positions 342 to 1108 of the family's 1533-position model. The record is from RNAcentral.